GCAGGUGAAUAAGCCAACCUGCAAAUCGAUCCUCCAGGCCCAGGCGAGCCUUCAAAUGACUGCAGCCCCAACAGACAUCUGACGGCAACGUUCUGAGAGAACCUGAGAUGAAGCACCCAGCUAAAUUUCUGACCCACAAAAAUCUUUAUGAGGUAAUACAUACUGAUUGUGCUAAAUUUUAGGAUCAUUUGUUAUGCAGCAACAGGCAAGUAAUACACAUACUAUCACCAAGAGGACACCCUUGAUAUGACCUACCAUUGCUUCACUAGCUUCAUAUCUUGCUGCUCUCCUCUUUUCUCAGUCCAGUCUAACUGCAUCAAAUUUUUCUUAAAACCAAGAAUGCUUCUGUCUCAAGGUUGCUGCCCAUUUCUUGUCUUUGUUCAAAUAUGACCCUUCUAGAGCUCUUCUUAACCAUUUCCUUGCAUCCUUUUCUGUUUUUUUUUUUUUUUUUUUUUUUAGCAUUUAUCCACGUGACGUGGUAUAUUUUACUUUCUUUUCUUGUUGCUGCUGUUUCUCUCUGCAUAACAAUGUAAGCUCUGUGAGAGUAGUGAUUUUGUUUUUGUUGUUGUUCACUGCAGGUAUGUUAGCACUUUGAGUAGAGUUUGGCACAUACUGAGUGGGUCAAUAUUUUAUUAAGGGAACUAAUGUUGUAGUGUGCUGGGUUUUUGUUUGUUGGCUUGCAUAUUUUCCCCCUCUGGAUUAUAAACUCCUUAACGUCGAGCACUCUAUCUUAUUCAUCUUCAUAUUUCUGUCACUUAUAUGAUGACAUAUGGAGUAACAUAUCCAUUUACUAAAGUAGAAAAAAGGGUCUGAGUUAUUUUUGGUGUUUAUACCACAGAGAAUAUUUUAAGAAGUUAAAAUAUAAGUUUUAAAAAAUGUAAGGGCUUAAAAAUACUUUGAAUGAGUCAGAGAUCUUAUGAAAUUAGCAAAUAUUACUUAAAAACAAUUAAAUUGCACAAAAAUUUGAAUUUAAAAGCAGCAAGACCAAUUUACUAUGUAGUUUUAAAACCAAAUUCAUUUGAACUCGAUAAUACAUUUGACAUAGAAAUUAAUUUCAUUGUAUUUUAAUCCCCUUCGAGAUUUUUUUUCUUCACUUGAGCACGUUUUACCUACUAGCUUGAAUGAAACUCCUUUUAUAAACUGACAAGCUAGAGCUCAUUGAAAAACAUUAAUUUUUUUGAUAAAUAUUUUUAACCUGGAGAAAAUCUCCAAUUAUAUAACCAUUUCCCCCAUAUUUAUAUUUUUGGGUUUAAAUAGCUUUUUAGAAAAUGUGUUGAAUUAUAUAUGCUUAAUACUUCUGAUUUUUUAUUUGUUGCUAAUCAUAAAUUAUGAUUUUUAUUCACUCCUAAUCAUUAAUUUCAAAAGUGAAAAAUAGAGAGGAAUUGGAUCUACCAAUCUCCAUGUCACUUUCUAAAGGCAAAUUUGAGAAGAUAAGAACUCUAUUCUUUCAUAGAAAGAAGCUAUGUUAGGCUUGAACAAGUCCUGGGAACUUAGAGCAUCCAGUUGACUUCUCCAAAGUCAAAAAUAUAGUUGAAGGCAUGAACACUGCCACAACUCAGCUGUCUAACCUCGUUAGUAAUUGUUCUGCUCACUAACCUAGCCCGCUUUCUAAAGUGUUAAGCGGAUGUUGGAGAACAAGGUUAUCUCUCCCCUGGGAAUUCAGGAUGCCAUUGUGUGAAACAAACUCAUUACCGAGAAAGUCAGAGUAAGAGGGAGAGAGAGAGAUGGGAGGAGGGAGAUUAUGCAUAUACAUAAGCUAAAUUCUGCCAUAUUCAAAUGCAAAACCCAGAAGUUGCUGUCAUUAAUAUUCAAAGACAAUUUGGGAUUACUUGCAGGAGAUGGAAAUGGUUCAGACGGGAAGGUUGUCCCAUCUAGCUCAAGAGAUGUGAGAUGCAGAGUUCCUGUUAUGGCUCAGCAGGUUAAGAACCUGACAUAGUGUUUGUGAGGAUGGGGUUUGGUAUUUGGCCUCCCUCAGUGGGUUAAAGAUCCAGCAUUACCAUAAGCUGUGACAUAGGUCAUGGAGGUAGCGUGGCUCCUGCAUUGCAGUGUUGCUGUGGCUCUGGUGUAGGCCAGCAGCUGCAGCUCCAAUUCAAGUCCCAGCCUGGAAUCUUCAUAAAUUGCAGGUGUGGUCCUAAAAAGAAAAGAGAGAGAGAGAGAGAGAGAGAGAAAUGUGAUACACCAUGUCCCAUGCCCAGGAGAUUUUGGUGAAGAUGGGAGCCCAAUUUAAAACUUUUUUAUGAUUAUACUAGAAAAAAUUAGAUACAUUCCUUAUGAGAAUUCACAGAGAAUUAUACAGAAAGUAGUGGAAAUCAAUAUAUUAUUGUUAAGGAAGCAUAGUAGUUUGGUACUUACCAAGUUUACUCACUUGGACUUUUGAAGUCAGAGAGUUCCAAUACUUUUAUUAUCGAGUAUGUUAGCUGUGGAUUUUUCUUGUGUAGGCUUGAUUAUGUUGAGAUAUAUCCCUUUUUUUUUUUGUAUGUGUGUGUAUGUGUGUAUUUAUAGGGCCGUGACGUAUGGAGUUUCCCAGGCUAGGGGUCUAAUUGGAGCCGCAGUGGCUGGCCUACGCCAGAGCCAUAGCAAUUUGGGAUCUGAGCCGAGUCUGUGACCUGCACCACAGCUCACGGCAAUGCCAGAUCCUUAACCCACUGAGCAAGGCCAGGGAUCGAACCCACAAUCUCAUGGUUCCUAGUUGGAACUCUCUGUGGCUGAUGUGCAUCUUAGCUUUGCUGGUCUCCGGCUGGGGUGAUAUCAAAGCAGGGCAUUUGUGUAGUGCCUGAAUGGCUUCAGAAGCUGGAUAUUCAUUCACCCUCUUUCCUAGAGGGGGAAAUGCUUUUUAUCUGGGAAGUUCCCAUUUGGUGCUGAGCAGUGCCCGGCAAAUGCAGGCAAAAUGUAGCUAUCCUUCCUUCCCUUUUUGUACAGUUACUCUUAGGUGUCCUGUUGAAGUUUCUUAAGGGGACUCCUAGCUCUCCCAGAACUGUUUUUUUUUCAUGGGUAGCUGUCUAAUUGUUGACUUUUGUAGGGGAAUUGAGGCUGCAGUCUUUUAUACUGUCAUCUUGGCAUGUUCUUGAGUUCAAGUUUAUUAAAUUGAUUUGCUUGUUGUUGUCUUAUAAAAGGGGAAAACACUAUUAAAUUUUUCUUUGCUGCAAUGAUUAAGUUCACUAUUUCUACAAUUGUUUUAGAAUUUUAAUUGGAAAAUCUUUAAAUAAUCAUCUACUUAGGAGUUUGAGUCUAACUCAUUACUAGACAAAGAUAAUCUCGAUUUAAAAUCUAGGUGAAUAUGUGUCCUAAAGCCUAGGACUUGAUUUUAAAACUAAGUUGUGUGCAUGGUUGAGCAACUCAUAUGUGUGGUGGAUUUAUCGCUUGUAUGAUCACCCUUGACCAUAGGGGCAUGAGAACUUCUGAGUGAAUGCUUUCUCUUCCAUUCCUUAGAAGGACAGUACAUUUCAUGAGGCUCUAGUUAGGCUACUGGGGACUCAUACACCUUUGGCCCACUUGGUAACUCACAUUUGAAUUGGUUACAGACAAAGCGCUUUUGUUGGGGGGGGGGGUUAGAUUUUAUGUUUGAUAGGCUUUGUAUUUUGACUUUUUUGCAUCUAUUUAAUUACUCUGAUAACUACUCUUGGAUGUGUUUGAUGUAAAGUAUUUUGUUCCCUAAUUUAUAAAGCUAUU
RNAcentral lists this long non-coding RNA (3669 nucleotides) under Sus scrofa (pig). Its description in RNAcentral is "lncRNA (ENSSSCG00000058914.1)". The record is from RNAcentral. Lineage: Eukaryota; Metazoa; Chordata; Mammalia; Artiodactyla; Suidae.